This 97-nucleotide non-coding RNA is filed under the name Rheinheimera nanhaiensis E407-8. Its description in RNAcentral is "Rheinheimera sp. E407-8 TPP riboswitch aptamer (THI element)". It matches the Rfam family "TPP riboswitch aptamer (THI element)". Rfam says of the family: Vitamin B(1) in its active form thiamin pyrophosphate (TPP) is an essential coenzyme that is synthesised by coupling of pyrimidine and thiazole moieties in bacteria. The previously detected thiamin-regulatory element, thi box was extended, resulting in a new, highly conserved RNA secondary structure, the THI element, which is widely distributed in eubacteria and also occurs in some archaea. Analysis of operon structures identified a large number of new candidate thiamin-regulated genes, mostly transporters, in various prokaryotic organisms. RNAcentral also lists the same sequence under 1 other name. The record is from Rfam by way of RNAcentral. Lineage: Bacteria; Pseudomonadati; Pseudomonadota; Gammaproteobacteria; Chromatiales; Chromatiaceae.
CGCGCAACCAAGGGGUGCAAUAGCUGAGAUGCCUUAAGGCGAACCCUUAGAACCUGAUCCGGAUUAUACCGGCGGAGGGAUGGUGCUAACUCCUCAA